Molecule: ribosomal RNA, 549 nt
Filed under: uncultured Glomus
Lineage: Eukaryota; Fungi; Glomeromycota; Glomeromycetes; Glomerales; Glomeraceae
Description: SSU rRNA
Rfam family: Eukaryotic small subunit ribosomal RNA
Source: RNAcentral
UUGGAGGGCAAGUCUGGUGCCAGCAGCCGCGGUAAUUCCAGCUCCAAUAGCGUAUAUUAAAGUUGUUGCAGUUAAAGAGCUCGUAGUUGAAUUUCGGGGUCAGCAGGUUGGUCGUGCCAAUGGUAUGCACUGGCCUUGCUGAUUCCUCCCUCUUGAUGAGCCGUAAUGCCAUUAAUUUGGUGUUGUGAGGAAUCUGGACUGUUACUUUGAAAAAAUUAGAGUGUUUAAAGCAGGCUAACGCUUGAAUACAUUAGCAUGGAAUAAUGAAAUAGGACGUUCGAUCUUAUUUUGUUGGUUUCUAAGAUUGACGUAAUGAUUAAUAGGGAUAGUUGGGGGCAUUAGUAUUCAAUUGUCAGAGGUGAAAUUCUUGGAUUUAUUGAAGACUAACUACUGCGAAAGCAUUUGCCAAGGAUGUUUUCAUUAAUCAAGAUCGAAAGUUAGGGGAUCGAAGACGAUCAGAUACCGUCGUAGUCUUAACCAUAAACUAUGCCGACUAGGGAUCGGAUGAUGUUAAUUUUUUAAUGACUCAUUCGGCGCCUUACGGGAAAC